This 247-nucleotide ribosomal RNA is filed under the name uncultured bacterium. Its description in RNAcentral is "partial 16S ribosomal RNA". It matches the Rfam family "Bacterial small subunit ribosomal RNA", at positions 523 to 769 of the family's 1533-position model. The record is from RNAcentral.
AUACGGAGGGUGCAAGCGUUGCUCGGAAUUACUGGGCGUAAAGGGCGUGUAGGCGGUUUCGUAUGUCUGGCGUGAAAGCCCCGGGCUCACCUCGGGAAGUGCGUCGGAAACUGCGAGACUAGAGUCCCGGAGAGGGAGGUGGAAUUCCAGGUGUAGCGGUGAAAUGCGUAGAUAUCUGGAAGAACACCGGUGGCGAAAGCGGCCUCCUGGACGGUGACUGACGCUGAGACGCGAAAGCGUGGGGAGC